RNAcentral lists this ribosomal RNA (253 nucleotides) under uncultured bacterium. RNAcentral's name for it is "partial 16S ribosomal RNA". It matches the Rfam family "Bacterial small subunit ribosomal RNA", at positions 524 to 776 of the family's 1533-position model. The record is from RNAcentral.
UACGUAGGGUGCAGGCGUUAAUCGGAAUUACUGGGCGUAAAGCGUGCGCAGGCGGUUUCUUAAGUCAGAUGUGAAAGCCCCGGGCUUAACCUGGGAACUGCGUUUGAAACUGGGAGACUCGAGUGUGGCAGAGGGGAGUGGAAUUCCACGUGUAGCAGUGAAAUGCGUAGAUAUGUGGAGGAACACCGAUGGCGAAGGCAACCCCCUGGGUUAACACUGACGCUCAUGCACGAAAGCGUGGGGAGCAAACAGG